This 1448-nucleotide ribosomal RNA is filed under the name metagenome. RNAcentral's name for it is "bacterial LSU rRNA". It matches the Rfam family "Bacterial large subunit ribosomal RNA", at positions 1462 to 2925 of the family's 2925-position model. The record is from RNAcentral.
AAAUGGGAUGACACAGAAGGAUAAGCUAACCGCACUGUUGGUUAUGUGCGGGCAAGUAUUGAGGCAGUUCUGAUAGGCAAAUCCGUCAGAAUAAUGCUGGGGUACGAUGCGGAGCGAAAUUUAGUAGCGAAGUAGCUGAUUUCACACUGUCGAGAAAAGUCUCUAUCGAGUUAAAGGUGCCUGUACCGCAAACCGACACAGGUGGGUGAGGAGAGUAUCCUAAGGCCAGCCAGAGAACUGUUGUUAAGGAACUCGGCAAAAUGACCCCGUAACUUAGGGAGAAGGGGUGCCUUCGAAAGAAGGCCGCAGAGAAUAGGCCCAAGCGACUGUUUACCAAAAACAUAGGUUUCUGCUAAGUCGCAAGACGAUGUAUAGGAGCUGACGCCUGCCCGGUGCUGGAAGGUUAAGGGGAUCUGUUAGGGUAACCGAAGCAGUGAACUUAAGCCCCAGUAAACGGCGGCCGUAACAAUAACGGUCCUAAGGUAGCGAAAUUCCUUGUCGGGUAAGUUCCGACCCGCACGAAAGGCGUAACGAUUUGGGCACUGUCUCAACAACAGACUGGGUGAAAUUGUAAUACCGGUGAAGAUGCCGGUUACCUGCGACAGGACGGAAAGACCCCAUGGAGCUUUACUGUAGCUUGACAUUGAGUCUCGGUGCUACAUGUACAGGAUAGGUGGGAGGCUAUGAAGCAUGGACGUCAGUCUGUGUGGAGCCAUCCUUGGGAUACCACCCUUGUAGUACUGGGAUUCUAACCAGCUGCCUUGAAUCAGGUAGUGGGACACUGUCAGGUGGACAGUUUGACUGGGGCGGUCGCCUCCUAAAGAGUAACGGAGGCGCUCAAAGGUUCUCUCAGUACGGUCGGAAAUCGUACGUAGAGUGUAAAGGCAGAAGAGAGCUUGAUUGCAAGACAUACAGGUCGAGCAAGGACGAAAGUCGGACUUAGUGAUCCGGUGGUACCGCAUGGAAGGGCCAUCGCUCAACGGAUAAAAGCUACCCUGGGGAUAACAGGCUGAUCUCCCCCAAGAGUCCACAUCGACGGGGAGGUUUGGCACCUCGAUGUCGGCUCAUCACAUCCUGGGGCUGUAGUAGGUCCCAAGGGUUGGGCUGUUCGCCCAUUAAAGUGGUACGCGAGCUGGGUUCAGAACGUCGUGAGACAGUUCGGUCCCUAUCCGUCGCAGGCGUAGGAAAUUUGAGGAGACCUGUCCUUAGUACGAGAGGACCGGGAUGGACGUACCGCUGGUGUACCAGUUGUUCUGCCAAGGGCAUGGCUGGGUAGCUAAGUACGGAAAGGAUAAGCGCUGAAAGCAUCUAAGCGCGAAGCCUACUUCAAGAUAAGAUUUCCCACCGCAAGGUUAAGACCCCAUGAAGACUACAUGGUUGAUAGGUCAGAGGUGUAAGUGCAGUAAUGUAUUUAGCUUACUGAUACUAAUAGGUCGAGGACUUGACCG